AGAUUGAACGCUGGCGGCAGGCCUAACACAUGCAAGUCGAGCGGUAGAGAGGUGCUUGCAUCUCUUGAGAGCGGCGGACGGGUGAGUAAUGCCUAGGAAUCUGCCCAGUGGUGGGGGAUAACGUUCGGAAACGGACGCUAAUACCGCAUACGUCCUACGGGAGAAAGCGGGGGACCUUCGGGCCUCGCGCCAUUAGAUGAGCCUAGGUCGGAUUAGCUAGUUGGUGAGGUAAUGGCUCACCAAGGCGACGAUCCGUAACUGGUCUGAGAGGAUGAUCAGUCACACUGGAACUGAGACACGGUCCAGACUCCUACGGGAGGCAGCAGUGGGGAAUAUUGGACAAUGGGCGAAAGCCUGAUCCAGCCAUGCCGCGUGUGUGAAGAAGGUCUUCGGAUUGUAAAGCACUUUAAGUUGGAGAAGGUUGUAACCUAAUACGUUGCAACUUUGACGUUACCGACAGAAUAAGCACCGGCUAACUCGUGCCAGCAGCCGA
This 493-nucleotide ribosomal RNA is filed under the name uncultured soil bacterium. Its description in RNAcentral is "bacterial SSU rRNA". It matches the Rfam family "Bacterial small subunit ribosomal RNA", at positions 26 to 518 of the family's 1533-position model. The record is from RNAcentral.